GGGGGCGCAUGGAUUCGAUCCCAUGGGGCAGGACGGUGCUGCGUGCCGGAGAUGAAUGGUUGGCUCCGCAAAAAUCCAUUCGAUGUCUGUAAAUGGCAAAAAAAACGUAAUUAGGGGUCUCAAGUUCGGCAAAUCUAAGUCCUAUGCGAUGGCUGCCUAAUUAAAAAAAUGCCGCAAAAAUUGCGGCACGUCGCGACGGCUGACUGCUCGCUAGGGCGCCGCGACGAAAAAUAGCGGGCGGGGUUUCGGAUCGUGCGAGGCCGAAAUCGCAUCAAUCGCACUAGUCUUCUUUGCCGUGGCGACGUCCGACAAAAAAGAUUAAAUUAUGACGCCGCUACGCACGUAGACGCGCCGCCCGAGAACAUGGGAGACGUGGGUUCGACUCCCACCGCCUCCACCA
RNAcentral lists this transfer-messenger RNA (400 nucleotides) under Puniceicoccales bacterium. It matches the Rfam family "transfer-messenger RNA". From Rfam's summary of the family: Bacterial tmRNA, also known as 10Sa RNA or SsrA, is named for its dual tRNA and mRNA-like properties. Its role is to liberate the mRNA from a stalled ribosome. To accomplish this part of the tmRNA is used as a reading frame that ends in a translation stop signal. The record is from RNAcentral. Lineage: Bacteria; Pseudomonadati; Verrucomicrobiota; Opitutia; Puniceicoccales.